This 237-nucleotide unclassified non-coding RNA is filed under the name Hevea brasiliensis (rubber tree). Lineage: Eukaryota; Viridiplantae; Streptophyta; Magnoliopsida; Malpighiales; Euphorbiaceae. The record is from RNAcentral.
CCAAUUCGCGGCGAGACAUUCGUCACCAGAAAGAUCACGCGCGCACUGGCUCGUAUCAAACUUGGUCUUCAGGAGAAGGUUUAUCUAGGGAACCUGAAUGCGCUUCGCGAUUGGGGGCAUGCCCGCGAUUAUGUAGAGAUGCAGUGGAUGAUGCUGCAGCAAGACGUACCGGAGGAUUACGUCAUAGCAACAGGCGAACAACACUCAGUUCGCGAAUUCCUUGAAGUCGCUGCGAAG